ACCUUACCUACUCUUGACAUCCAGAGAACUUUCCAGAGAUGGAUUGGUGCCUUCGGGAACUCUGAGACAGGUGCUGCAUGGCUGUCGUCAGCUCGUGUUGUGAAAUGUUGGGUUAAGUCCCGCAACGAGCGCAACCCUUAUCCUUUGUUGCCAGCGGUCCGGCCGGGAACUCAAAGGAGACUGCCAGUGAUAAACUGGAGGAAGGUGGGGAUGACGUCAAGUCAUCAUGGCCCUUACGAGUAGGGCUACACACGUGCUACAAUGGCGCAUACAAAGAGAAGCGAACUCGCGAGAGCAAGCGGACCUCAUAAAGUGCGUCGUAGUCCGGAUUGGAGUCUGCAACUCGACUCCAUGAAGUCGGAAUCGCUAGUAAUCGUAGAUCAGAAUGCUACGGUGAAUACGUUCCCGGGUCUUGUACACACC
RNAcentral lists this ribosomal RNA (423 nucleotides) under uncultured prokaryote. RNAcentral's name for it is "bacterial SSU rRNA". It matches the Rfam family "Bacterial small subunit ribosomal RNA", at positions 968 to 1391 of the family's 1533-position model. The record is from RNAcentral.